RNAcentral lists this ribosomal RNA (1365 nucleotides) under metagenome. RNAcentral's name for it is "bacterial LSU rRNA". It matches the Rfam family "Bacterial large subunit ribosomal RNA", at positions 1522 to 2910 of the family's 2925-position model. The record is from RNAcentral.
UAUGAUGAUGCCAGGCAAAUCCGGCAUCAGAGCUGAGACCUGAAAGUACGGGGUCCCCUUCGGGGGAACCUGAGAGCGAGGGUAACCAUACUCCCGAGAAAAUGGGCUAAACUCAUGUUGGCGGUACCCGUACCGCAAACCGACACAGGUAGUUGGGUAGAACAUACUAAGGCGUUGAGAGAUUCAUGGCUAAGGAACUAGGCAAACUGACCCCGUAACUUCGGGAUAAGGGGUCCUCACCUCCGGGUGAGGCGCAGAGAAUAGGUCCAGGCAACUGUUUAACAAAAACACAGGGCUGUGCGAACUCGAAAGAUGAAGUAUACAGCCUGACACCUGCCCGGUGCCGGAAGGUUAAGAGGAGAUGUCACCGCAAGGGAAGCAUUGAAUUGAAGCCCCGGUAAACGGCGGCCGUAACGAUAACGGUCCUAAGGUAGCGAAAUUCCUUGUCGGGUAAGUUCCGACCUGCACGAAUGGUGUAACGAUCCGGACGCUGUCUCGGCCAUGAGCUCAGUGAAAUUGUAGUAUCGGUGAAGAUGCCGAUUACCCGCGAUGGGACGAAAAGACCCCGUGAACCUUUACUACAGCUUAGCAUUGACCUUGGUCAUCCGAUGUGUAGGAUAGGCCGGAGGCUUCGAUGCGGCGUCGCCAGGCGUUGUGGAGCCAUCCUUGAAAUACGGCCCUUUGGCUGUCUGAGGUCUAACGCGGAUAGUCGCGGACACUGCUUGGUGGGUAGUUUGACUGGGGUGGUCGCCUCCAAAAGCGUAACGGAGGCUUCCAAAGGUGCCCUCGGGCCGUUUUGGUAAGCGGCCUUCAAGAGUGCAAUGGCAAAAGGGCGCUUGACUGGGAGGGAGACAUCCCGAGCAGGCAGGAAACUGGGGCAUAGUGAUCCGGCGGAUGUGUAUGGAAACUCCGUCGCUCAAAGGAUAAAAGGUACUCCGGGGAUAACAGGCUGAUCCCCCCCAAGAGCUCAUAUCGACGGGGUGGUUUGGCACCUCGAUGUCGGCUCGUCACAUCCUGGGGCUGGAGAAGGUCCCAAGGGUUGGGCUGUUCGCCCAUUAAAGUGGCACGCGAGCUGGGUUCAGAACGUCGUGAGACAGUUCGGUCUCUAUCUAUCGUGGGCGCAGGAGUUUUGAGUGGUGCUGUCACUAGUACGAGAGGACCGUGACGGACAGACCUCCGGUGUACCGGUUGUGCCGCCAGGCGCACCGCCGGGUAUCCGCGUCUGGAUCGGAUAAGCGCUGAAAGCAUCUAAGUGCGAAGCUUUCCACGAGAUUAGAACUCCAUUGAGGGUCGUCGCAGACGACGACGUUGAUAGGGCGCAGGUGUAAAGACGGCGACGUCAAAGCCGAGCGCUACUAAUUGCCC